CCCGUUACCCGGGUUGCGGACAGUGUCUGGUGGGUAGUUUGACUGGGGCGGUCUCCUCCUAAAGAGUAACGGAGGAGCACGAAGGUUGGCUAAUCCUGGUCGGACAUCAGGAGGUUAGUGCAAUGGCAUAAGCCAGCUUGACUGCGAGCGUGACGGCGCGAGCAGGUGCGAAAGCAGGUCAUAGUGAUCCGGUGGUUCUGAAUGGAAGGGCCAUCGCUCAACGGAUAAAAGGUACUCCGGGGAUAACAGGCUGAUACCGCCCAAGAGUUCAUAUCGACGGCGGUGUUUGGCACCUCGAUGUCGGCUCAUCACAUCCUGGGGCUGAAGUAGGUCCCAAGGGUAUGGCUGUUCGCCAUUUAAAGUGGUACGCGAGCUGGGUUUAGAACGUCGUGAGACAGUUCGGUCCCUAUCUGCCGUGGGCGCUGGAGAACUGAGGGGGGCUGCUCCUAGUACGAGAGGACCGGAGUGGACGCAUCACUGGUGUUCGGGUUGUCAUGCCAAUGGCACUGCCCGGUAGCUAAAUGCGGAAGAGAUAAGUGCUGAAAGCAUCUAAGCACGAAACUUGCCCCGAGAUGAGUUCUCCCUGAGACUUAGAGUCUCCUGAAGGAACGUUGAAGACGACGACGUUGAUAGGCCGGGUGUGUAAGCGCAGCGAUGCGUUGAGCUAACCGGUACUAAUGAACCGUGAGGCUUAACCUUACA
Molecule: ribosomal RNA, 702 nt
Filed under: Salmonella enterica
Lineage: Bacteria; Pseudomonadati; Pseudomonadota; Gammaproteobacteria; Enterobacterales; Enterobacteriaceae
Description: partial 23S ribosomal RNA
Rfam family: Bacterial large subunit ribosomal RNA
Source: RNAcentral